CGCGAAUGGCUCAUUACAACAGCCGUUGUUUCUUGGAUCUCCGCAAUACUUGGAUAACUGUGGUAAUUCUAGAGCUAAUACACGCAAUCGAGCUCCGACCGUAAGGGACGAGCGCAUUUAUUAGAACAAAACCAAUCAGUGCUUGCACUGUGGUUUGGUGAAUCUGAAUAACUGAGCAGAUCGCUUCGGUCUCGUACCGGCGAUGUAUCCUUCAAGUGUCUGCCUUAUCAACUUUCGAUGGUAGUUUAUGUGCCUACCAUGGUUGUAACGGGUAACGGAGAAUUAGGGUUCGACUCCGGAGAGGGAGCCUGAGAAACGGCUACCACUUCCAAGGAAGGCAGCAGGC
RNAcentral lists this ribosomal RNA (346 nucleotides) under Nematoda environmental sample. RNAcentral's name for it is "SSU rRNA". It matches the Rfam family "Eukaryotic small subunit ribosomal RNA", at positions 88 to 433 of the family's 1831-position model. Lineage: Eukaryota; Metazoa; Nematoda. The record is from RNAcentral.